GAUGAACGCUGGCGGCGUGCCUAAUACAUGCAAGUCGAACGGGGUUGUUGUAGCAAUACGACAACUUAGUGGCGAACGGGUGAGUAACGCGUUGGUGACCUGCCCCGAAGAGGGGGAUAACAGUCCGAAAGGAUUGCUAAUACCCCAUGUGGUCAUAGAGGUUAGAGGCUCUUUGACUAAAGCAGCAAUGCGCUUCGGGAGGGACCUGCGUCCCAUCAGCUAGUUGGUAGGGUAAUGGCCUACCAAGGCAAUGACGGGUAGGGGGCCUGAGAGGGUGGCCCCCCACAAUGGCACUGAAACACGGGCCAUACACCUACGGGUGGCAG
Molecule: ribosomal RNA, 326 nt
Filed under: uncultured Chloroflexota bacterium
Lineage: Bacteria; Bacillati; Chloroflexota
Description: bacterial SSU rRNA
Rfam family: Bacterial small subunit ribosomal RNA
Source: RNAcentral